RNAcentral lists this ribosomal RNA (251 nucleotides) under uncultured prokaryote. Its description in RNAcentral is "partial 16S rRNA". It matches the Rfam family "Bacterial small subunit ribosomal RNA", at positions 525 to 775 of the family's 1533-position model. The record is from RNAcentral.
ACGUAGGGGGCGAGCGUUGUCCGGAAUUAAUGGGCGUAAAGGGUGCGUAGGCGGUUUGGUAAGUUAGAUGUGAAAUCCCCGGGCUUAACUCGGGAGUUGCAUUUAAAACUGCUGAACUAGAGUGCAGGAGAGGAAAGCGGAAUUCCUAGUGUAGCGGUGAAAUACGUAGAUAUUAGGAGGAACACCAGUGGCGAAGGCGGCUUUCUGGACUGUAACUGACGCUGAGGCACGAAAGCGUGGGGAGCGAACAG